AGCGAACGCUGGCGGCAGGCCUAACACAUGCAAGUCGAACGAACUCUUCGGAGUUAGUGGCGGACGGGUGAGUAACACGUGGGAACGUGCCUUUUGGUUCGGAAUAACUCAGGGAAACUUGUGCUAAUACCGAAUGUGCCCUUCGGGGGAAAGAUUUAUCGCCAUUAGAGCGGCCCGCGUCUGAUUAGCUAGUUGGUGAGGUAACGGCUCACCAAGGCGACGAUCAGUCGCUGGUCUGAGAGGAUGACCAGCCACACUGGGACUGAGACACGGCCCAGACUCCUACGGGAGGCAGCAGUGGGGAAUCUUGCGCAAUGGGCGAAAGCCUGACGCAGCCAUGCCGCGUGAAUGAUGAAGGUCUUAGGAUUGUAAAAUUCUUUCACCGGGGACGAUAAUGACGGUACCCGGAGAAGAAGCCCCGGCUAACUUCGUG
This 433-nucleotide ribosomal RNA is filed under the name uncultured bacterium. RNAcentral's name for it is "partial 16S ribosomal RNA". It matches the Rfam family "Bacterial small subunit ribosomal RNA", at positions 29 to 507 of the family's 1533-position model. The record is from RNAcentral.